This 504-nucleotide ribosomal RNA is filed under the name uncultured bacterium. RNAcentral describes it as "partial 16S ribosomal RNA". It matches the Rfam family "Bacterial small subunit ribosomal RNA", at positions 28 to 507 of the family's 1533-position model. The record is from RNAcentral.
GACGAACGCUGGCGGCGUGCUUAACACAUGCAAGUCGAACGGUGAAGCGCUUGCCUUUUUGGUGGGUGUGGAUGAGUGGCGAACGGGUGAGUAACACGUGAGUAACCUGCCCUCUUCUUCUGGAUAACCUCAUGAAAGUGGGGCUAAUACGGGGUAUUCCGGGUCUGUCGCAUGGCGGGUUUGGGAAAGAUUGCGCCUUUGGGUGUUUUCGGUGGGGGAUGGGCUCGCGGCCUAUCAGCUUGUUGGUGGGGUGAUGGCCUACCAAGGCGGUGACGGGUAGCCGGCCUGGGAGGGUGGACGGCCACACUGGGACUGAGACACGGCCCAGCCUCCUGCGGGAGGCAGCGGUGGGGAAUAUUGCACAAUGGGCGCAAGCCUGAUGCAGCGACGCCGCGUGAGGGAUGGAGGCCUUCGGGUUGUGAACCUCUUUCGCCAGUGAAGCAGGCCUGCUCCUGUGUGGGUGGGUUGACGGUAGCUGGAUAAGAAGCGCCGGCUAACUACGUG